AGAGUUUGAUCAUGGCUCAGAUUGAACGCUGGCGGCAGGCCUAACACAUGCAAGUCGAACGGUAACAGGAAACAGCUUGCUGUUUCGCUGACGAGUGGCGGACGGGUGAGUAAUGUCUGGGAAACUGCCUGAUGGAGGGGGAUAACUACUGGAAACGGUAGCUAAUACCGCAUAACGUCGCAAGACCAAAGAGGGGGACCUUCGGGCCUCUUGCCAUCGGAUGUGCCCAGAUGGGAUUAGCUUGUUGGUGGGGUAACGGCUCACCAAGGCGACGAUCCCUAGCUGGUCUGAGAGGAUGACCAGCCACACUGGAACUGAGACACGGUCCAGACUCCUACGGGAGGCAGCAGUGGGGAAUAUUGCACAAUGGGCGCAAGCCUGAUGCAGCCAUGCCGCGUGUAUGAAGAAGGCCUUCGGGUUGUAAAGUACUUUCAGCGGGGAGGAAGGGAGUAAAGUUAAUAUCUUUGCUCAUUGACGUUACCCGCAGAAGAAGCACCGGCUAACUCCGUGCCAGCAGCCGCGGUAAUACGGAGGGUGCAAGCGUUAAUCGGAAUUACUGGGCGUAAAGCGCACGCAGGCGGUUUGUUAAGUCAGAUGUGAAAUCCCCGGGCUCAACCUGGGAACUGCAUCUGAUACUGGCAAGCUUGAGUCUCGUAGAGGGGGGUAGAAUUCCAGGUGUAGCGGUGAAAUGCGUAGAGAUCUGGAGGAAUACCGGUGGCGAAGGCGGCCCCCUGGACGAAGACUGACGCUCAGGUGCGAAAGCGUGGGGAGCAAACAGGAUUAGAUACCCUGGUAGUCCACGCCGUAAACGAUGUCGACUUGGAGGUUGUGCCCUUGAGGCGUGGCUUCCGGAGCUAACGCGUUAAGUCGACCGCCUGGGGAGUACGGCCGCAAGGUUAAAACUCAAAUGAAUUGACGGGGGCCCGCACAAGCGGUGGAGCAUGUGGUUUAAUUCGAUGCAACGCGAAGAACCUUACCUGGUCUUGACAUCCACGGAAGUUUUCAGAGAUGAGAAUGUGCCUUCGGGAACCGUGAGACAGGUGCUGCAUGGCUGUCGUCAGCUCGUGUUGUGAAAUGUUGGGUUAAGUCCCGCAACGAGCGCAACCCUUAUCCUUUGUUGCCAGCGGUCCGGCCGGGAACUCAAAGGAGACUGCCAGUGAUAAACUGGAGGAAGGUGGGGAUGACGUCAAGUCAUCAUGGCCCUUACGACCAGGGCUACACACGUGCUACAAUGGCGCAUACAAAGAGAAGCGACCUCGCGAGAGCAAGCGGACCUCAUAAAGUGCGUCGUAGUCCGGAUUGGAGUCUGCAACUCGACUCCAUGAAGUCGGAAUCGCUAGUAAUCGUGGAUCAGAAUGCCACGGUGAAUACGUUCCCGGGCCUUGUACACACCGCCCGUCACACCAUGGGAGUGGGUUGCAAAAGAAGUAGGUAGCUUAACCUUCGGGAGGGCGCUUACCACUUUGUGAUUCAUGACUGGGGUGAAGUCGUAACAAGGUAACCGUAGGGGAACCUGCGGUUGGAUCACCU
This 1530-nucleotide ribosomal RNA is filed under the name Escherichia coli UMEA 3212-1. RNAcentral describes it as "bacterial SSU rRNA". It matches the Rfam family "Bacterial small subunit ribosomal RNA". The record is from RNAcentral. Lineage: Bacteria; Pseudomonadati; Pseudomonadota; Gammaproteobacteria; Enterobacterales; Enterobacteriaceae.